Molecule: ribosomal RNA, 253 nt
Filed under: uncultured bacterium
Lineage: Bacteria
Description: partial 16S ribosomal RNA
Rfam family: Bacterial small subunit ribosomal RNA
Source: RNAcentral
UACAGAGGGUGCGAGCGUUGUUCGGAAUUAUUGGGCGUAAAGCGAGUGUAGGCGGGAUCGUAUGUCGGGUGUGAAAGCCCUCGGCUCAACCGAGGAAGUGCGCCUGAAACUGCGGUUCUUGAGUGUCGGAGAGGGUGGCGGAAUUCCCGGUGUAGAGGUGAAAUUCGUAGAUAUCGGGAGGAACACCAGAGGCGAAGGCGGCCACCUGGACGAACACUGACGCUGAGACUCGAAAGCGUGGGGAGCAAACAGG